GGGGUUUUAGCUCAGCGGCAUAAGUGCCUGCCUUGCAAGCAGGCAGUCGCGAGUUCGAUUCCCGAUCCCCA
Transfer RNA from Cavia porcellus (domestic guinea pig), 71 nucleotides. It matches the Rfam family "tRNA". Rfam says of the family: Transfer RNA (tRNA) molecules are approximately 80 nucleotides in length. Their secondary structure includes four short double-helical elements and three loops (D, anti-codon, and T loops). Further hydrogen bonds mediate the characteristic L-shaped molecular structure. tRNAs have two regions of fundamental functional importance: the anti-codon, which is responsible for specific mRNA codon recognition, and the 3' end, to which the tRNAs corresponding amino acid is attached (by aminoacyl-tRNA synthetases). tRNAs cope with the degeneracy of the genetic code in two manners: having more than one tRNA (with a specific anti-codon) for a particular amino acid; and 'wobble' base-pairing, i.e. permitting non-standard base-pairing at the 3rd anti-codon position. The record is from Rfam. NCBI's taxonomy places the organism in Eukaryota, Metazoa, Chordata, Mammalia, Rodentia, Caviidae.